GUCCAAAUGGCGUCAUUGGGUAGUGUGACUGUGGACGAUUUAAAAACAAAACGAUUUUCUCUAAAUAUUCUAUGAGCAGUAUUUUUACACUGGAUAAAAAAGGGGAGAGUCGGUUAUUGGCAGAGGGGGGAGGGACUAGACAGCAGGCGUAUUGCAUUCCACGAAGCUGAUUUAAUAAGUGCUGUCUGUGAUGUUUGGCAAGCCUGGUUUAUAUCCAUCUACAAGGUUUGCGAACCCAUGUUGCCGAUUUUUUUUUUCUGCUACAGAACAACUACCUUGGUACAAUAAAAAAGACGAGUAUUUACUUUUCAUUGAAAGGAGAUAUUUUUGCUUGAAAAAAUGCAUAUGUAAAUUUAAAGACACUACAAGUUUUCAAGGACUGUGGUGAUAUGAAGAUAGAACAUGAGGUAGAUUGCUUUAGCACCUAUGCAUAAGGAUAUAAAACCAGCAAGACUUAUUUGAUGAGACAAUGGAAAGGGCACAUUUAAGAGAUGCUUUGGAGAAAAUCAGUUUUACUAGGUUUCUAAUUUAAUAUGGGAUUAAGAUAAGGAGACUGAAGACAACACUGAAGUUGUGAGAAACAUGGGAAAAUAUAGGUACCACUAAUAGGUAUAGGAAAAUUGAGAAAUAAAAUAAGAGAUGGAAGAGUUACCUUUUGCCAGGAGGAAUAUAAGAGGUAACCAACUGUAUGAGAUGAAAACUGGAAAAAAAAAAAAAAGGCUUAGAAGUCAGGGCUGGAGAUAUAGAUUUAGGUGUAAAGAGUGUUAGUAUAGAAGUAGAAAUUACGAAAAUCGGUGCAUACGGUGAGCCUAAUAAAGCUAAGUAAGGACUUAAGAAAAUCCACUAAAUUGUUUUUAUUUACUAUAUCC
RNAcentral lists this long non-coding RNA (869 nucleotides) under Cercocebus atys (sooty mangabey). RNAcentral describes it as "lncRNA (ENSCATG00000045743.1)". The record is from RNAcentral. Lineage: Eukaryota; Metazoa; Chordata; Mammalia; Primates; Cercopithecidae.